Molecule: long non-coding RNA, 299 nt
Organism: Chiroxiphia lanceolata (lance-tailed manakin)
Lineage: Eukaryota; Metazoa; Chordata; Aves; Passeriformes; Pipridae
Exons: 3
Source: RefSeq, a predicted model, not a curated record
AUGGUGUGCCAAAACUUGAGGAAAUGAGCACUCAUGGGAUCCCUCAAUCUGCUUCAUGAGGUAUUGGCUACAAUGUACCACACCUGAAAUGUUUCUACACCAAUGCAUGCAGCAUGAGGAACAAACAAGAGGAACUCAAAGCUUUGGUCCAGUCCCAGAGAUUUGACAUCAUUGGCAUAAGUGAAACCUGUUGGAUGGUUACGGGCUCUUCAGGAGGGAUAGGCAGGGCAGAAGAGGCCGAGGGGUGGCACUGUAUGUAAUAGAAGGGUUAGAAUGUAUGGAGCUCAUAGUUGGCAAUG